GUACUGAUGAAGAGUCCCAAACUAGGACGAAAUAGCAGUCCAGUAC
Molecule: non-coding RNA, 46 nt
Filed under: Trichobilharzia regenti
Lineage: Eukaryota; Metazoa; Platyhelminthes; Trematoda; Strigeidida; Schistosomatidae
Source: RNAcentral